UACAGAGGUCUCAAGCGUUGUUCGGAUUCAUUGGGCGUAAAGGGUGCGUAGGCGGCCGAGUGUGUGAGGCGUGAAAGCCCGGGGCUUAACCCCGGAAUUGCACCUCAAACUACACGGCUAGAGCAUUGGAGAGGGUAGCAGAAUUCAUGGUGUAGCAGUGAAAUGCGUAGAUAUCAUGAGGAAUACCAGAGGCGAAGGCGGCUACCUGGACAAUUGCUGACGCUCAGGCACGAAAGCGUGGGGAGCAAAAGGG
This 253-nucleotide ribosomal RNA is filed under the name uncultured bacterium. Its description in RNAcentral is "partial 16S ribosomal RNA". It matches the Rfam family "Bacterial small subunit ribosomal RNA", at positions 524 to 776 of the family's 1533-position model. The record is from RNAcentral.